Molecule: ribosomal RNA, 406 nt
Filed under: uncultured bacterium
Lineage: Bacteria
Description: partial 16S ribosomal RNA
Rfam family: Bacterial small subunit ribosomal RNA
Source: RNAcentral
AUUGAACGCUGGCGGCGUGCUAUACACAUGCAAGUCGGACGAGUGGCGAACGGGUGAGUAACGCAUCGGAACGUACCGAGUUAUUGGGGAUAACUUUCCGUAAGGACCGCUAAUCCCGCAUAUUAUUCGAGCGGCCGCUGUCUGAUUAGCUGGGUGGCGGGGUAAAGACCCGCCAAGGCGACGAUCAGUAGCGGGUCUGAGAGGAUGAUCCGCCACACUGGGACUGAGCCACGGCCCAGACUCCUACGGGAGGCAGCAGUGGGGAAUUUUGGACAAGGGGCGCAAGCCUGACCCAGCCAUGCCGCGUGUCUGAAGAAGGCCUUCGGGUUGUAAAGGACUUUUGUCAGGGAAGCGGUACCUGAAGAAUAAGCACCGGCUAACUACGUGCCAGCAGCCGCGGUAAUUC